CCAAUAAAAAAUAAAUAAAAAAGGAAACUGCACGUCUAAGCACAAAUAGACCAAAUGUAGGCAAUAAUAACAAUGUGGUGAUACAGAAAAAAAAUGUUUUCCACAAGUAAUGUCCUAACAUGAGAAAUAUUCACUGCUAUCAAUAAGCAAACCAACAGGAAUGCCUGUAGUGGCCAGAAAUUAUCACAAUUAUUCUUAUGUGGGUAUGAGUGUACUGUUCCUUUAAUUUUAAUGAGUC
This is a non-coding RNA of Pelobates cultripes (western spadefoot toad), 238 nucleotides long. NCBI's taxonomy places the organism in Eukaryota, Metazoa, Chordata, Amphibia, Anura, Pelobatidae. The record is from the annotation of a GenBank genome assembly.